CAGUAGCCGCGGUAAUACAGAGGGUGCGAGCGUUAAUCGGAUUUACUGGGCGUAAAGCGUGCGCAGGCGGUUAUAUAAGACAGAUGUGAAAUCCCCGGGCUCAACCUGGGAACUGCAUUUGUGACUGUAUAGCUAGAGUACGGCAGAGGGGGAUGGAAUUCCGCGUGUAGCAGUGAAAUGCGUAGAUAUGCGGAGGAACACCGAUGGCGAAGGCAAUCCCCUGGGCCUGUACUGACGCUCAUGCACGAAAGCGUGGGGAGCAAACAGGAUUAGAUACCCGAGUAGUCCCUGUCUCUUAUAC
This 301-nucleotide ribosomal RNA is filed under the name uncultured bacterium. RNAcentral's name for it is "partial 16S ribosomal RNA". It matches the Rfam family "Bacterial small subunit ribosomal RNA", at positions 509 to 807 of the family's 1533-position model. The record is from RNAcentral.